RNAcentral lists this ribosomal RNA (492 nucleotides) under uncultured bacterium. Its description in RNAcentral is "bacterial SSU rRNA". It matches the Rfam family "Bacterial small subunit ribosomal RNA", at positions 27 to 507 of the family's 1533-position model. The record is from RNAcentral.
GGAUGAACGCUAGCUACAGGCUUAACACAUGCAAGUCGAGGGGCAGCAUGGUCUUAGCUUGCUAAGACUGAUGGCGACCGGCGCACGGGUGAGUAACACGUAUCCAACCUGCCGUCUACUCUUGGACAGCCUUCUGAAAAGGAAGAUUAAUACAAGAUGGCAUCAUGAGUCCGCAUGUUCACAUGAUUAAAGGUAUUCCGGUAGACGAUGGGGAUGCGUUCCAUUAGAUAGUAGGCGGGGUAACGGCCCACCUAGUCUUCGAUGGAUAGGGGUUCUGAGAGGAAGGUCCCCCACAUUGGAACUGAGACACGGUCCAAACUCCUACGGGAGGCAGCAGUGAGGAAUAUUGGUCAAUGGACGAGAGUCUGAACCAGCCAAGUAGCGUGCAGGAUGACGGCCCUAUGGGUUGUAAACUGCUUUUAUAAGGGAAUAAAGUGAGUCUCGUGAGACUUUUUGCAUGUACCUUAUGAAUAAGGACCGGCUAAUUCCGUG